RNAcentral lists this long non-coding RNA (784 nucleotides) under Homo sapiens (human). Its description in RNAcentral is "non-protein coding lnc-NMBR-6:1". Lineage: Eukaryota; Metazoa; Chordata; Mammalia; Primates; Hominidae. The record is from RNAcentral.
AAAUGUGGCAAAAAGGGAGCCAAGAAAGUGAUCAAUUUUCUAACAAAGAUUGGUAUGACGUAAAAACACAAGCUAUGUUCAGUGUAACUAAUAUUGGGAAAACACUAGUCAUAAAAACUCAAGGAUACGGAAUCACAUCUUAUGGUCUCAAGUAUGAUUGCACCUGAUGGCCUCAAGUGAUGUGUUUUGCAAGUGAGAUUUGCUGAUCCAAGGAUGAUUAAGUUGCUUUUAUAAAAUUCAAAUUACUUAAUGAGGAUGUUCCGAAAAAAACCGCCUGAUCAUCUUCUAUGACACAGAUCUUACCCAUGAGAAGUGACCUCCAUUAUCAAUUUUUAAAAAAUGACAGACCAUUUUGAAGCUGAUGUUGAUGUUAAGACUACCAAUGAUUAUUUGCUUCAUCUCUUCAGUGCUGGUUUUACUAAGAAUUGCAACAAUCAAAUUUGAAAGUCCUCUUAUGCUCAGCACACACAGAUUCAUCAAAUCCGGAAGAAGAAGAUGGAAAUCAUGAUCCAAGAGGAGCAGGCAAGUGCCUUGAAAAAAGUGGUUAAUAAAUUAAUUGCAGAAAGCAGUGGAAAAUACCUAGAAAAGUUUGCAAUCCAUUUAUUCUCUCCAUGAUGUCUCCUAUAAAAUAGAAAACAUGUUGAGGAAGCCGAAGUUCAAGAAUUGGGAAAACUCUUGAAGCUUUAUAGAAAAGCAGUAAUUUUGAAAUGCUACUGAGAAUGAGACAGGGGCUAAAGUUGAAUGACUUGAUGGAUUUGAGUCAGCGGUCCAAGAGUCUGCUUAA